This is a non-coding RNA of Arachis ipaensis, 2611 nucleotides long. Lineage: Eukaryota; Viridiplantae; Streptophyta; Magnoliopsida; Fabales; Fabaceae. The record is from RefSeq and is a predicted model, not a curated record.
CCAAGCUUUGGAGCCAUUACCAGGGAUUGUUCGAGCCUGGACAUCACAAUUUCGUGCACCAGGUAUUAUGGUGGAAAAUUGCUGAGUGCAGUGGACCAGGACGCAAACAACUAUUUUUUUUUUAUCAUAGCAUACGAUGUUGUCCCUAAUGAAUGUAAGGAUACCUGGAAGUGGUUCCUAACGCUGUUGCAAGAUGACUUGGGGCUGGUGACGCAGCAUGGAUGGAAUUUUAUAAGUGAUCAGCAGAAGGUAAUUCAAUUAGGCCGUUUGUUCUCUUUUUUAUGAAAAAUGCAAGUGAUAUCUAAACUGUUAAACUGUUUCUGUAUGUCUAACACUUGCAGGGGCUAGAAUUAGCUAUCAAGGAAGUAAUGCCUAAUGCACACCAUCGAAAUUGUGUGCUACAUUUUUGGAAAAACUUUAUCAAGCAUUUCAAGGACCAACAAACAAAGCAAAUGGUAUGGGAAUGUGCAAGAUGCACAACUUUUCAAGAAUUCAAUGCAUGCAUGGAGAAAAUGAAGAAAAUCAAUCAUGGUGCAUGGGAGUAUUUACAGUGAGUUGAUCCGGUAGUGUGGACUAAAGCUUAUUUCAGUCAUGGUCCGAAGGUGGAUAAUAUAACCAACAACAUGUGUGAGGUGUGGAACGCAAAGAUCGUAGAGUAUCGGGGGAAGCCAAUCUUAACGAUGUGUGAAGACUUGAGAUGCUAUUUAAUGAGAAAAAUGGCAACACACAAGAAGAAGCUAGAGAGUCACAGCGGUCACUUGGCACCAGUACAGCAGAAGAAAAUGGACAAGUUUGUGAAGCCUAAAGCUAACAAGUGGAGAGCCAUUUGGGCUGGAGACAACGAUAGGGUGCACUUUGAGGUUCACAGAGGAACAAGUAAGGUUGGAGUUAACCUUCAACAAAGGACCUGCACUUGUAAUGUUUGGGAACUUACUGGUAAAAUUGUUUAUUAAUCCAUCAUUAUUUGAGUUAUUGUAACUUAUGUGUUAUUUUUUACUUUGCUUUAUUGGGGUGUUGUGACAUUGAUUUGUACAUCAUUCAUAUAACCUUGUGGAUUGCAUGUCUGGAUUGUGCUUCUUGUUAGGCAUGCCUUGCUGUCAUGCUAUUGCAGCAAUGUAUAAAAUUGGUUUGAAGCCAGAGGAGCAUGUGCAUAAAUGGCUCACCAUGUAAUCAAUCAGAGCAACAUAUAUGCAUUGCAUCAAACCAGUAAACUUAGAGGAGUACUGGACCCCAUGUGAUGCUCCAAGGACGGAACCACCUAACAUCAAGAGACCAGCUCAUCGCCCCAAGAUGAAGAGGAAGGUAGAUCCUGUAAAACCUGAGAUGCACGCCACUAAAGCCAAGAAAACCUUUGAAGUGACGUGCAACAACUGUGGACAGCUUGGGCAUUACUACAAGACAUGCAAGAAUGACCUAAAAUAUCCAAACUGACAGCCAUUGACAAAGAAGGAGAGAAGAGCUGCCAAGGGGAAGGGGUUGCACAUUGUACUCUUUGACCCAAACCAGAACAGAGGCCAGGUAAUUGGGGUUCGAUUUGGAACACAAUAUUAAAUGUUAAGGGUUUAAGAGGCACGUCUUAAAAUUGUGGGGGAUUUAUGUGUCUCAUUUAAAAAUUGUGAGGGGUUUAUGUGUCUCAUUAUUGGUUGUUAUUAUGAUUAGGAUGUAGGACCUAAUGUCAAUCUGAACAAUGAUACUGUACAACCUGCCCCACCUAUGGAUCCACUGGUUAUAUCUUUUAACCUGCUCCUUAUCUCUAUUGUUGUUUAGAUGACAGAUUAGACUCUCCUUGCACUAACAUGUUUAUACUACUGUGACGGACAAAGGCAAAGAAGAACAAGAAGAAACUUCCAAAGAUAAUGCAUAAGAAGGGUAAUUCUGACCAACAGGAAUAGGGAGAAGAAAUUACCCUUUCACAAAAUGCACCCCAGGCAGAUGAGGUUGCAAGAGAGGCUAUGAACCUGAAUUAGCCACCCCCACAACCCUGCUCCACCCCCAAUCUUAGUCAUGCACAGAGAAGAAAGCACCCUGUUGUUAGGCCCCUGACUACUCCUAUCUCGGCUCCACCUUUAUUUGGACAACCUAGUCCACCACCAGUUCAAGCAGCAUCAGGUCUUAGACCAUGUGUUCCAACCAGUCAGACUGUGAACCCGAGGACAACAACUGCUAAUGUCCCCCUUCAACAAAGUGUUAUUUCUACUGAGACCAUGGCUGCAGCAAGUUCUGGGACUGCAACAAGGCUUUUCAAGUUCAUUCCUACCCCUAGGUUUAGACCUCCGAGGAAGACUUGAUUUUUGAUAUGUUGCUGUUGACAUAGAUGAUAAGAAUGACUCCUUUUGUUAUUAGUUUGGUAUCAAUGUUUACAAAUAUGGAAAAUACUUUGGUUUAUCUAAGUGUUUGGGUCAUGUUUAAGUCAUUUUGAAACUCUAUUAGACUGAUGUGAAAGAUGUUUAAGUCAGUUUGAAACUUAACAAAUUUAGGAAAUACUUUGGUUCAAGGCUACAUGUUGGCCUUCUUUUUGUUAUUAAAGGGCUAUAAGUUGUCCCUUUCUCAUGCUGAACAAGGACAUGAUUGGAUGUUUUGUGUAAAUGUUUUAUAUAAGGCAUCUUUUGGG